Molecule: RNA transcript, 4047 nt
Organism: Osmerus eperlanus (European smelt)
Lineage: Eukaryota; Metazoa; Chordata; Actinopteri; Osmeriformes; Osmeridae
Gene name: E3 ubiquitin-protein ligase RNF166
Exons: 6
Source: RefSeq, a predicted model, not a curated record
CCGUGUUGUAGGCUACCACGGAUUUCUAAACGAGUGUACCACAUCUCAACGCCGAAUUGCAUUGGUGACUGGGAGUGUAGUUCUAACCAAAAGAGCGCUCCGUUGAAGGUAUUACACGAAGGCUACUAUGGGACUUCAGUAUCCAGAACGUGAAGCGUCUUUAAAGGGGUUUUGUUGUAGCUGGGACGCUCGUUCGUAAGUAUCAGACCGGUAAGGCACUGCGCAAAAUCACAAAUCUUAGUAGCAUGUGUACCUUCUGAACCGUUACCGUUUGACGGUUUACGUUGUUUUCACAUCGAGUAAUCUACACAGCAUCUUACCCUAGCUAGCUGUCGUCAACGAACAGUCUAUCUUCUAAUGUUUACUUGUUUCCAGCUCCGGCGUGUCCUCUAGUGAAACGUAGCCUAUCUUUGUCAUUAGACAUGUUUAUACGUAGGAUAUUCAUCCGUUAAUUAGAGCACCAUCUAUGUUUUAAUUUGCGGCAUCUGUUCCCAAGGAAAAGGAAUAUCUGUUGUCGAGAGUGAAUAGCGAACUGAGCUUAUUGUUCGUGAUGGCGAUGUUCCGCAGUUUUGUGUCCGCUACCCAGUUCCGACAGCAUCAGCAAGCGAGCGGGGCAUCCUCCGCCACGGCUCCAGGGGAGAGCGUCGAGAGCCAGUUCUCCUGCCCCAUAUGUCUGGAGGUCUACCACAAACCCGUCAGCAUUGCCAGCUGUGCUCACACGUUUUGUGGGGAGUGUCUCCAGCCCUGUCUGCAGGUGACCUCUCCUCUCUGCCCCCUGUGCCGGAUGCCCUUUGAUCCUAAGAAGGUGGACAAGUCCUCCAGUGUGGAGAAGCAGCUGUCCUCCUACAAGGCUCCCUGUAGAGGCUGCAGCAAGAAGGUGGCUUUAGUUAAAAUGAGGUCCCACAUCACCUCGUGUACGAAGGUACAGGAGCAAAUGGCCAACUGCCCUAAGUUUGUACCUGUGGUUCCCACAACACAGCCCAUCCCCAGUAAUAUUCCAAACCGCUCAACCUUUGUGUGUCCUUACUGUGGUGCCCGCCACCUGGACCAGCAGGAACUGGUCAAACAUUGCAUGGACAAUCACCGCAACGACCCCAACAAAGUGCAGGUGUGUCCUGUGUGCUCAGCCAUGCCCUGGGGAGACCCCAGCUACAAGAGCUCCAACUUCCUGCAGCACCUUCUCCACAGACACAAGUUCUGCUACGACACCUUUGUGGUAAGGAGGGGAGAUGGAGAGAUGGAGGAAGGGAGGGAAAGACAAUUGUAUUUUGCUGUGUCUAUUUGUGUGUAUGUGUGUGUACUACAGGACUACAGUAUUGACGAGGAAGCUGCUCUCCAGGCGGCGUUGGCUCUCUCCCUGGCAGAAAACUGAGUCCACCACACACACACCUUGCUGCCACGCCUAUCUCUGCCAUGCCCAUCUCUGUCACACCCCUCAGUGCCCCUGCCCCCAUCAGAUGUGUCCCACUCUGCGGUCAGAGAGAAAGCGACAGAGAAAGUGAGAGAGAGUGGUGUAUGAGAAGAUUCUUCCAACAGGGUUAGAAUCUUCAACAUCAGCAACAAUCCUCAUUGUUGUCGUUUCUAUGGAAACAUCUCAGCAUCAGGACCUCAGGACUGGCGUUGUGGUUCUGUCAAGACUCAACAAGCGAUGGUGUCCUGCAUUUGAGGAGAGUUGCAUCUGUCAGUGUUCCAGAGACUGCUGUGUGUUUGUCUUUGUUUGUGUUUGGCCUCUACACGCAGGUUGUGAUUGGCUGAGUUCUGCUGCCUGCUUUAGGCAUGACCAGAAGAUCACAGAUCUAUCCAUCAUUCAUGUAAACAUUGUCACAACCCAAACUACUGCCACCGCCUCAAAACAAUACCAACAAGCUACAACCUUUUUUAUUCUAGAUUUCUUGUGAAUACUAAUCAGCAUUUUCUACAUAAAUUAUCUGUAGUUCUUGGUAUACAGGGACAGACAUCUAGGAAUCAGUUUCUGCUUUAUCUACCUUUUACCUUGUUACCUUGCUGCAGUGAUAUUUUUAUGAUUCAUCACUACCAGAUAAAACAAAAAGAAGAUAUAUAUUUUUUGGAAGAAAACAAUGUUCAAAUGGUGCACUAUUAACAAGAAAGUAAAACACGUGUCUGAGGGGACUUUUACCUUCUUUUUACAUCUUACCAUUUGUACUGUUGUUGAGCAGUGUUCUGGCUCUGCCAGGGAGAGGGAGAGCAAGCAUAAACUCUGUACUGGUGUGGCGUAGUACACAUACUCAGUCACUUGAGGGAGCCACAUCCAUAGGAGUGGGCCUUCACCACCAACCAAGCUCCAGAGAUAAGGUUCUCUGCUGCUGUGCAGACAGGGCUAUAUUGCUGACUGAGGAAUGAUGGGUUUUUCUCAAAUUACAUUAGUGUGUGUCCGUGAAAAGAGAAGUGGGUAUUCUUUGUAGACCCUCAAUUACACUACUGUGUAGAUCUUACUCUUUCUGACCCCCCUCACCACAUGACAGAAAAUAACUGUGAGAGAGAUUGCACAGUGGUCUGAUCAGGUCAGAAUAAUGAUGUCUUAAUCAAAGGAUGCAUGUUUUCAUAAAGGCCUUUGAACUAAGAUGAACCUGUCCAUCUUUCCGACUGGCUUCAUGUAGACGUUCUAGUUCCUGACAGGGACUGAGAUCAUCAAAUACAGCAGGGACGAAGGGAGGGACUAAGAGAGAGGGAGGGAAAGAGGGAGAAGUUGUACAUGAUAGAGGAUGUGAGACUUUGCCAUGUCUCUGGUAUGGAAUGUGCAUUGUCGUGCUCUUUUAAUUUCCUCGCAAUAUCUUUCCUACACAAAGAAUGCAUUGAAAUAUGGCACUUUAUGAAUUCAUUCAAAAAUAUCUUUGAGAGAUGAGCAGGAAUUGUAUUCUAGUUAUUUUAGGUGUGACUGGAGAAACUGAAUGAGUGGAGAAUGCAUGAGCACCAUGUGUGUCCCUGUGUAGGAACCAGUGAGUGUUUCUGUCAAGUCACAGUAUGCAGUCAGUCAUUGUCAAUGAAGCAGUCAGUCGGUUCUGUUGUACAGAGCCAACUACCAGGCAGAUGUGAAAGCAGGAUAGAAUGGGCCUCUUGAUGAUUCUUAUACUAAGGUGGUCUGAACACUCAGUCUACUCAGGACCUGAUCCAUCUAACCCAGGUCUGCCUGGACCCCAAUGUUCUGAGGAAUGCAGAUGGAGCGGGUGACGAGGUGCAGACACGAGGAUGGUGAAGCAUGUCCCUCCUGGGACCCGGUGGAUGGGUCAGACAUCUCACUUUUUCUAGUUGAUUUACACAGAAGGUUAGUCGUUGAUAAGGACUCUUCUGAGUGUAUGUACGGUGUUGUCUGGUCCACAUUCCUGUCUAGAGCUGGAGCAUAUAUUUAGAUUUAUAAGACUUUGACUUUUGAUAUUGCAUUCUGUAUUGAAUUUGUUCCUAUUAUGUUAUAUGGAGCCUGCUUACCUUCCCUUAACUCCUCAUAAAUUGAUAUGUUUCAACCCUUUGUAUUGUUGCUCCCAUGGAUUGCCCAUAACAACCAUGAUAAACUGUAUCUUACUUAUGGUGUCCCAGGUCUAGGGCCUGGACCUAGCCUGGUUCUAGCUUGGCUUGGACAUCAGGAACACCUGAACCUUGCCCUAGGUCCUGGUACUUGCUUGUCGAACAGGACGCCGUUUUGGCCGGAGAGGAAGUGACUGGGUGCCAUCUUGUUUUCCUGACACUGCAGCAGAUGAGUCAGAUUUGCUUGGUUGUUCUGGUGCUCGGCCUUGGUCUGGUCCUAGUUCUAGCUAGAUCAUGUAGUAUUUGUUCCGUGUGAUUUCUUUGUUCUUUACCUAGUAAUAAUGGGCAUAGUAAAAGCAGUAUGAGUCAUGAUGCGAGCCAAGUGGCGUCUUCAGUUGUUCCACUGUUUCAACUUUAAUAAGAUAUUAUACUUAACUAUGUAUUUGUGGCAGGUUUUUUUCUCUCUGAAUAAACAAACACAGACCCCAUCCUAUCUGCCUGUGUGUAUUUUUUCCAGGACUCCGUCUUGUGUCUGCCUGUGUCUGUCUUACAGGACUCCUUCUGCCU